Molecule: ribosomal RNA, 471 nt
Filed under: uncultured bacterium
Lineage: Bacteria
Description: partial 16S ribosomal RNA
Rfam family: Bacterial small subunit ribosomal RNA
Source: RNAcentral
GACGAACGCUGGCGGCGUGCUUAACACAUGCAAGUCGAACGAUGAACCCGGAGCUUGCUCUGGGGGAUUAGUGGCGAACGGGUGAGUAACACGUGAGUAACCUGCCCUGGACUCUGGGAUAAGCGUUGGAAACGACGUCUAAUACCGGAUAGGACCUUGGAUCGCAUGAUCUGGGGUGGAAAGUUUUUUCGGUCUGGGAUGGACUCGCGGCCUAUCAGCUUGUUGGUGAGGUAAUGGCUCACCAAGGCGUCGACGGGUAGCCGGCCUGAGAGGGUGACCGGCCAACUGGGGACUGAGACCCGGCCCAACCCCCUACGGGGGGCAGCAGUGGGGAAUUUUGCAAAAGGGGGAAAAGCCGGAUGCAGCAACGCCGCGGGGGGGAUGAGGGCCUUCGGGUUGUAAACCGCUUUUAGUAGGGAAGAAGGGCUUGGGUUUGCCGGUACCUGCAGAAAAAGGCCCGGCUAACUCCGU